GACGAACGCUGGCGGCGUGCUUAACACAUGCAAGUCGAACGGAAAGGCCCUGCUUUUGUGGGGUGCUCGAGUGGCGAACGGGUGAGUAACACGUGAGUAACCUGCCCUUGACUAUGGGAUAACUUCAGGAAACUGGGGCUAAUACCGGAUAGGAGCUCCUGCUGCAUGGGGGGGGUUGGAAAGUUUCGGCGGUUGGGGAUGGACUCGCGGCUUAUCAGCUUGUUGGUGGGGUAGUGGCUUACCAAGGCUUUGACGGGUAGCCGGCCUGAGAGGGUGACCGGCCACAUUGGGACUGAGAUACGGCCCAGACUCCUACGGGAGGCAGCAGUGGGGAACCUUGCACCAUGGCCGGAAGCCUGAUGCAGCAACGCCGCGGGCGGGAUGACGGCCGUCGGGUUGUAACCCGCUUUCGCCUGUGACGAAGCGUGAGUGACGGUAAUGGGUAAAGAAGCACCGGCUAACUACGUG
Molecule: ribosomal RNA, 468 nt
Filed under: uncultured bacterium
Lineage: Bacteria
Description: partial 16S ribosomal RNA
Rfam family: Bacterial small subunit ribosomal RNA
Source: RNAcentral